CUGAGUUGUCGACAUGAGUUGUUGCUGGUCCUCAAACGAGGGCAUGUGCACGCUCUGUUCACACAUCCACUCACACCUGUGCACCCUCUGUAGUUCUAUGGUUUGGGAGGCGCAUCGUCUCUUCCCUCCUGUAGCUCUAUGUUUUUACACACACACCGUAGCAAAGUCUUGUGGAAUGUGCACCGCGUUUAACGCAAUACAAUA
RNAcentral lists this unclassified non-coding RNA (204 nucleotides) under uncultured Tomentella. RNAcentral describes it as "sequence contains ITS1". Lineage: Eukaryota; Fungi; Basidiomycota; Agaricomycetes; Thelephorales; Thelephoraceae. The record is from RNAcentral.